CCUCUCUCCUUGCUCAGCGCUGUACAAAAAUAAAGUUCCUACUUUCUUCCACCACACCCGGUGUCAGAGAUUGGCUUGCUGUGCAACGGGACCGGCCGGAAAUAAUGGGUACCUUGGCAACCCUCUGGGCUCCAUUUGUUUUGAAGUCGCCGCGACGCCCCGGCCAAAUUUUGCCUCACAAACUGAAGCUGGAAGACCCAAUAUAAACUUAAGAGAGAUUCAUGUCUGCUGCUGUGUAAGCCACUCAAAAACCUACCUGAGUGCCCGAUGACACCAUCAGAGACAUUUCAAACUGCAGAAGAUGCUUCGACCCUGACUUCUAGGAAUCUUGAUUGGCUGCCCCCAGGCUCAGAAACUGGUUCAUAAUUUGCUCCAACCAUUAAGCUUGUUUUUCUCUUUUUGUUUCUCUAG
Molecule: long non-coding RNA, 411 nt
Filed under: Equus asinus (donkey)
Lineage: Eukaryota; Metazoa; Chordata; Mammalia; Perissodactyla; Equidae
Description: lncRNA (ENSEASG00005035521.1)
Source: RNAcentral